GGCGGCCUGGGCUGCGUUCUAGAUUCGGUUCAGUGUUCGGCUUGGUGUGCGGGCCGUUGGGUGGCGUAGAGCAAGGCUUUGUUUAGGGAAUGUCUGUGCACUGGCCGUUAAAAGAGAACCUGGAGGGCGGGGUAGGGUUUCUGAGAGUGUAUCGACCAGUUUUAUUACAUCCAUAGUACAUAAUUUUAAACCCUCUGCAAUCUUGUGUGUCAUAAAGAAAAAGCCUUCUCUCCGGUUUCUUUGUUUUCGAAACUCAGGAGAGGACUUUGGACCGCGGAGGCUACUUUCUCUUAACAGAGAUUGAUCCUUAUCUUUUCCCCUUUCAGGCGGGUCCCGUCAUUCGAACCAACGAAGCACUGUCUCCACUACAUCACACGAGACUGUGCCAUAGAAUUGAGGCCCAAGUCCAAGACCUGUUGGACCCUCUUUCCAAAGUUUCUAAGGGGGCAUGAAUAUAUUGCCUGUUAUUUACAAUCUCUUUUUCCAUAACGAGACCUUUCAGGACUGGCUAUAAAGCAAAUUUCAGGCAGCACCACAAGAAGGAAUAUCAAUGCAGUGAUUGGCUGGUGUCUGAAUAAUACAGCAAGAUUUCAGAGCAGGACUAUCGCAACUGUGCUCUUUUCCUGUUUAUCUCCUGUUUUAUCUUUUGGAGGUUUCAAUCCCACCAUCUCUUCCUCCUUUUUAUUCACCAGAAUACAUCUCGUCCUACUCCACGGGGGGGGGGGGACAAAAAAGAAAAGGUUCAUGCAUGUACUUUGAAGUUGAAUGUGGUCUGAGAAUUAAAGCAGUUCUGCAGAAUCAA
Molecule: non-coding RNA, 802 nt
Organism: Pogona vitticeps (central bearded dragon)
Lineage: Eukaryota; Metazoa; Chordata; Lepidosauria; Squamata; Agamidae
Source: RefSeq, a predicted model, not a curated record